GACAACAUCUCUUUGGCGAAGGAGGAGCUCUCAGAUUGUAAAUAAUUGCGGACGCUGAAGUCAGAUCGAUGUCAUUUACGAUUGCUCGUUCUUCAAAGAUCGCUACGGAACACGUUUGAAAAAGAGAGAAAGUAAUACGGAUUUAUAAUGGGAUUUCAGGUCAUCGUUAACGGACUGCAAAGUUGAAAUGGCGUACACUCUUUCGAGGAACUAACUUCGACGGCUACAAAGAUUAUUUAUUUACGGUUCGCGAACACGAACAUUUCAUCGCGAAAUCGCGACAUUUCUCCCUUUAUCUCUCUUUCUCCUUCGCUCUUCUUUUUUUCUUUUUCAAGGGAGUAAACUCGCAUCCCUACCCCUUUGCUUUUCUGCGCAUACUUUCUUACGAGGGUUACCCUCGAAACUUAAUAAGCGGUUUUCGCGAGUUAAACGUCGUUAGUUAUUCAUGCGAGAGGAUAACAAUGGAUCCUUUCCAUCGAGCUCCUGAAACUUUUAGUUUUCUUUCCAUCGAAUCUAGCUUCGUAUGUAAACUUUACUAAACUGUGAACUCUAUAGUAUUUUUACUUUAUUUUUUUAUUUUGUUUAUACUGAAUAUGUAUUGAGGAUAUGGAAGAAAAUAAGUUUCUUAAAAUUAAUUUCCAGCCACAAUAUCGCUCGAGAGGAUCACGAGAGAGGGAGAUAGACAGAGGGAGAGAGAAAGAGAGGGGUCAGAGAGAGAGGAGAGGGAGAAAUGUUAUCUAUAUUCGUGCAAGAAUUAAUUGUUAUUUUACGACGAAAAAAAAAAAUAAAAUACUCUAGUAAAAAAAAGAGUUUUAAAUGUAUGCAUAAAAAUUGUGUGCAUAUGUUGGUUAUGCAUUAAAGUUUCAAGAUAGCUAUUAUAAUGAUAAGCGUGAUAUACUCAGCUUCAAAAAUAAAUGUUACGAAAUAGAUAACGAGAUACAAAUAUCAUCACAAAAAGAAAAGAUAACAUUAUUAUCAAAACUAAUAUAUGAUUAGAAUAUGUGUAAGUACAACCAAACUUGAGAACUUCAUAGAAGAAACGAACGUAUUAAUAAAAUAGAGUUUAAUAAGAGAAAUACGACCUAGAAAUAAAGGAUAUAAAAUAAAAGAUAUAGAAAAAACCAAUAUGAUAUAUUAAAAAACAAAUUAUCUAAUAUAAAUUAUGAAACGUGUAUUUAUAUGCAAUACAUCAUGCGUCAAAAAAAAAGAAACUCCAAAGAAAGUAUUGAAUAUAUUGAAACUAUAAUUAAUGAUUGGUAGUUAUCGAAAAAUAAUGAGCAUUUCUUUCUAUCAUAUAUCUUCGCGCAGUGAUGAGUCAUUUCAUCUUUGUUUCUUUCGGGCUUUGUUUUUCUUUCGCUUUGUUUAGUGCGUUAUGUGGAGUCAAGCCGUAGGAGAGUAAACAUUGGUCGUGACCGAGGCCUAAGAACAAAUGUUUAUUUAUAUACAAUCGUGCUGUAACCUUCCGAACAUUUAUAUGUGAUCGGAGAUCGUCCUUGGAUAUACCGAUCAGUUUGAAACGAGACAUUGCGGCGUUAGUAUGGAUAAGACACGUUCAGACAAGUUUAUUCAAAUCUGUGCUAUGAUUGUGCCUCUCCAUGAUGGGACCGAAGGACCAGAAAACGAAGAAAGUAUCGGAGAGACGAGUAUCUACUACCAAAAAGAGAAGCUUUUUUCGCCGGGGGUCUAAAAGGUGGAGCCCUCUGACCGGAUUGAAGGGUUGGUUUAUUCUCGCUCACACAGUGCAAGUAUGUGUGGAAGUAUCCAGGGAACUCGAGGUGGAUCGAUCGAAAAGUUUCGUCGAAGGAAGGGCGAAAAGAACCGAAGAUGUGGUAAAGAAUCGUAUUAAGGGCAACGUCACGGUUCCCCGCGAUUAAAUUUUCAAGAAGGGGUCGGAGAAAAAAAGGGCGACGAAGACGAAGCAAAGAAGAAGCAAGAUCGAGAGAGUAACUUGAGCAGAGGAGAAUAGAAAAAGUAAAUUAUCGGUUGACUCGCAUCCUCGCCGAACCUCGACGAAGUCACGCCAUUGGAAGAUGCAAAGAACCUUAGGGAAAAGUACC
Molecule: long non-coding RNA, 2057 nt
Organism: Vespula vulgaris
Lineage: Eukaryota; Metazoa; Arthropoda; Insecta; Hymenoptera; Vespidae
Exons: 4
Source: RefSeq, a predicted model, not a curated record